RNAcentral lists this transfer RNA (72 nucleotides) under Jeotgalicoccus aerolatus. RNAcentral describes it as "tRNA-Glu". It matches the Rfam family "tRNA". Rfam says of the family: Transfer RNA (tRNA) molecules are approximately 80 nucleotides in length. Their secondary structure includes four short double-helical elements and three loops (D, anti-codon, and T loops). The record is from RNAcentral. Lineage: Bacteria; Bacillati; Bacillota; Bacilli; Caryophanales; Staphylococcaceae.
GGCCCGUUGGUCAAGCGGUUAAGACACCGCCCUUUCACGGCGGUAACACGGGUUCGAGUCCCGUACGUGUCA